AGGUGCGACCAUACCAGCACUAAUGAACCGAAUCCCAUCCAAAGUCCACAGUUAAGCGUGCUUGAGCGAGAGUAGUACUAGGAUGGGUGACCUUGUGGGAAGUCCUCGAGUUGCACCUC
This 119-nucleotide ribosomal RNA is filed under the name Lupinus angustifolius (narrow-leaved blue lupine). Lineage: Eukaryota; Viridiplantae; Streptophyta; Magnoliopsida; Fabales; Fabaceae. The record is from RNAcentral.